This 474-nucleotide ribosomal RNA is filed under the name Triticum aestivum (bread wheat). RNAcentral describes it as "partial small subunit ribosomal RNA". The record is from RNAcentral. Lineage: Eukaryota; Viridiplantae; Streptophyta; Magnoliopsida; Poales; Poaceae.
GCCUACUGCGUGGUGGCGACGGAGGCGGCGGGGCGCGAGGUGCCCCUGGCCUUCCUGGAGAGGAUCAAGGAGGAGUUCAACAAGCGAUACGCCGGAGGCAAGGCCGCCACCGCCACCGCCAACAGCCUCACCAAAGAUUUUGGGCCGAGGCUGAAGGAGCAGAUGCAGUACUGCAUGGAUCACCCCGAGGAGGUGAGCAGGCUGUCCAAUGUGCAGGCCCAGGUCUCAGAGGUCAAGGGCAUCAUGAUGGAAAACAUCGACAAGGUGAUUGAUCGCGGGGAGCAAAUCGACGGCCUGGUGACGAGGACCGAGCAGCUCCACGACCAGGCCAUGGAUUUCAGGACUGAGGGCACGCGGAUCCGCCGAAGGAUGUGGUACCAGAACAUGAAGAUCAAGCUCAUCGUCGCCGGCAUUGUCGUCGCCAUCAUCCUCAUCAUCGUCCUCUCCAUCUGCCAUCGGGACCACUGCAAGUAG